CUAAGAUCAACCUGUACUCCAGCUGUUGUGCAUAUUUUUAUGUGACUCUGCAUUUUCCUUGGAAAUUAAGAUGGACUCAAAAAGAAACCACCCUUUCCAAAAGAGGCAGUUUGCUUUUCAAUAUGUUGCAUAACAGAUGCUCCAAAGGAAGUGAGGGAGAGGAGUAAGCCCAGGAAGAGACUACCCUGCAAAGUCCUAGGACCCCAGACCAGCAGGGGAGAAGCUGAAGGAAACAAGACUGCUGUGGUACCCUUAACUUGUCUGUCAAGAAACUAUUAAGGAGAUAUAUGCCAUCCUGAAAUUUCCAACUGAGAAUAGCAGAAGAGACUGCAGACAGACAGCCCAGGUGCAGCGCCUGAAAGCAGAGUACACGCUGUAUUGCAGUUUAGGAAAAUAUUACCUCACUGAGUACCUGCAUCUGUCUUCUCAGCAAGUCACAAGACUAGAAGUAACAAAAGAUCGUGCUCAUACCACUGAUUCUGUCUUUAUACCCCUGGCUGCUUAACAACUGGCGCAGUGCCUAUGAUCCGGCUGAUUAGCCGAUGCCUGCUGAUAUUUGCUAAAUGAACUGGACCGAGAAGUUAGCAUGGAUUCUGUGAAGGCUCCAUAUUCCUGACAACAUUAUAAACAGGUAACUCACUUGCAAAAAAUGUCCUGAUAUGACA
Molecule: long non-coding RNA, 665 nt
Filed under: Fukomys damarensis (Damara mole-rat)
Lineage: Eukaryota; Metazoa; Chordata; Mammalia; Rodentia; Bathyergidae
Description: lncRNA (ENSFDAG00000029696.1)
Source: RNAcentral